AUGCACGGUUCCCUCUUGCUUUUCAGUAAUGUUGUAAAGGCGUCAGGCUUCAGCAACAGUUACAGUUCCCGCUUUUCCCAUGGUCACAAAACAGUCCCGUGUUCCGUUGACAGAUGAGCAUAUUGUUCUUUUCCCGACAGGAAUCAGCUGAUGCUUGCCUUUUUAGAAAAACUAAAAUUUAGUUUUCCCUUACAGCAGAACAAACAUAUCCCGUGUGCCAUUGCUAAAACGGUGAAGCGAGGCCUACUGCGCAUAUGGGUAUGCCCAUAUAAGGAAGUUCUGGUUGCAGUGACAUCAGUAGAACUCCACAAACCAAAGCUUGUGUAAGGUACACAAAAGAUAAGGUAACAUGUUUUUUUUUUUAACUGUUAAAAAUGCAUAAAUAUGGUUAGAGCAUUUAAGAGUAGUAAUAAUUCAUGUUAUACAUAUAAAAUUCAGUUGUAAAAGAAAAAAAGACACCCUACUAUUUUUUGUAUAUGUUUGUUUCUAAAAUAACCAAAUCUCCAUUGUUGGCGUUUGGGUGUAAUACCGCAAGGUCCACUAGGGGGUGCUAGCAGCGAUGGUGGUAUAGAGUAGGUGACAAAACCACAGAGGAAGAAUAAAUCCUGAGGGUGAAUAUACGUCAAGUCAUCGUGGAUUGUCUUCCUUAUUCUGUACCACAAGUAACCAUGGAAACAGUGGAAAAGCAAAGGUUUCAUUCACCACCAUCUUUUUUUUAAGCUUCCAGUCUGUUAUUCUCACCCAAUGAGGAUGACAAGAGUCCUAUCCAGCCUUUGGCCGUGUCAACACACAUAUUUUAGAGAGAGAAAACCUGAUGCGGCCCAGUCUCGCCCGGACCCUAGCUCCAGUGGCCCCCAGCGGUUACCAUAGCAACACAAAUGCUAGCCCAUGUACCAGGAGGGCAUGUUCUCUUACCUUCCCUGAUGACUUUACUCCAUGUAUAAUGAACAGGUAAGUGAUGGCCCAGGCAAGCAGAAGGCACAAAACUUGGCUUGUCUGCACACCUCCGGUGUCUUCAAUAGUGGGGGAAAUAUUCAGUGUUUCCCUGAAAAAGAAAUACUGCGUGGAAGAAGCCUUCCGGCACUCUUCUAGCGGUCCUGUCAAGUUGGCAUUAGCAGGACACUGUGACCAAGGCAGGACGGACUGUGAAUGCAAACCAGGGAGUUUGAACUCAUGAACAAAUGAGCUCUGAUGUCGUCUUGAAUGACAUGGUGCAAGAUGUUAUUGAGACACUCACUUGAAAUGAAUUAAAGAGGUACCAGAAACUCCAUGCGUUGAUGAUGUUGUAGUAGAGGCAAAGAUACAGGGAAGCCAUGACGCUAGCAAGUCCUGAAACGACAACAAACCAAUACGGAAAUUCACCACACAGUAAAAGAUGGCUUCUUUGAGAAUAAUGAGAGGUACAAUUGAAUAC
This is a non-coding RNA of Doryrhamphus excisus (bluestripe pipefish), 1414 nucleotides long. The record is from RefSeq and is a predicted model, not a curated record. Lineage: Eukaryota; Metazoa; Chordata; Actinopteri; Syngnathiformes; Syngnathidae.